UCCACUAUAUUAAAUGCAAAUAUAGUAUAUCAGUGUUUUUAUCGUCUGUUUUGAUUACACACUUUAAAGGUAAAUCACAUUCCUUCUUUAAACACUCAUUUAAAUAUCACUUUUGGAUGCAUCCCUUUCUUGAUCUUUUCAAAAGUAAUCAAACUGGUUAAAUGGGUAAUGAAAGAAGGCAAAUGGAAGACUAUUUUCCCAAAUCUUUCACUGGAAAUUGGAUGAUGGAUGAAUUAACUUUUCGUAUCAUGGUUAUGAUACCCCUUCCUGUUCCUUGCCCAAGUAUUGAUUUGUGUUCCUUGUAUCUAAUAAGUAUAUUUCAUCUUUGUGUGUAGUUUCCUACUGCAGUACACAGAGUACCAGUACAUAUUGUAAUGGUAAUGUACACUCAGUUUUUGACCUCAUGAGGGGAGAACAUCUUACAGAUUAAGCAUUUUAUCCUCCUCACCGCAGUUGGGUGAAUGUAUGAUUGGUAUGGCCAAGAGAGCACACAUAGAAAAUACGACUUUCCAUUGUCUUUAUUUUGUACCUUUUUCUCCGUAUUUGAAUUAUUGGAGCCACGGUUGGAUGCCUGUUAGUCAAGUAUAUAAAAAUUUGUCUGUAUUGACAAGAACUCUCACUUCUAAAAUCCUUUCAUAAGAACCAGCAAGAUGUGGGUUCUUUCAUCUUCUGUUGCUUAGCCUCGCUUGCACUAGGGUUGUAAGCCUGGUUAGACCAUACAGUAAAGCAUAGACUUUUUUUUUUUUUUUUUUUGGUACAUCUCCUCUGUAAGUAGCAAGCCUUAAAUUAAUUUCUUAAAACAGUUAGUUGAGAGUGUGGAGAUGUUGAUGAAUUAUCAUAAUGGUUCCAGAAAAAAGCGGGGAACGAAUACAUCAUGGACACCUAUUUGCUAGUUUUAUAAGGUUAAAAGUAACCAUUUAGCAAUGAAAUUUUUGUAUGACGUGUAAAUAUAUGUAGCCUUUUCUUCCUAAUACUUCACAGUAUCAAAUAAUGUUUGUUUUCCACAGCUACUUUUGCUAAAUAACUUUUGUGAUUAAAUGAAAAAAAACUCUUGAAAGUACUCUUUUUCUCCUCAGGAAUUUCCUUGAAUUUCGUGCAGAGUAGUGACCGUUUAUUUUUAAAAACUGAAAGUCUCUGUUUUGGCAUACUUAUAUAUAUUCACUUACAUGGAGUUAAAUUUUAUUAUUUUUCCUGCUAACUUAAUCUUAAUAAGCGCAGUUAACUUUGCGUGGUCGAAUGUUUGCAGCUCGGGUUUAUCUUCUUAGACUAAAGCCAUUCUAGGGGACUUGAGGGUCCUUAGGACUUUGGGGGCCUCUUGAAUUGUCGGUAGUGCGUUAUUCAGUUGUGUGAAAUCUCAAAUAAUAUAUUAGUCGUCAAAUUAGCGUUACCUUUUAGAGAGGAACGUACGAUUCAACGACAGGCCUGUUCCUGACACUGCAGUUCCUGUUUCCCGUGCGUCUGACCCUCCCCUUCCACCUUCCUCUCCUCCUUUCUAAGAAAGUGUCCUCAACCGUGCCCACUUUUAGGGGCGCAGAGUAGCUCUUAAAUUCAAGCUAAGGGAAACGUGGAAAGGAAAAUAAGAGAUGACAGCAUCGUCUGUUUAGGCUGUUAGAUAUAUAAACUUCACUUAUGUAGCCGGCACCUUAAAAAACACAUUUCUCUCCUAAAGUGUCUUUAGAAAAUACAUCCAUGACGGACUGGCUGAGUGUGCCCAGGUUAGAACUUGGCUGUGUCUGUCCCUUUCCUGAUUUUUCUUUCUGAAAAGUGAAAACAACUCUGGAUCGCUUGUAGGCAUAGGGCGUUGCAUGUCCUUGCUGGGUGAACACAGAUGCACGUCAUGUAUUAAUUGGCGGUGAAGAAAGGUUAUAGCUGACAUGACAAACACGGGACGUUCUGCGGCAUUUGAAUCCACUUUCAAAGAGUUGCUGGAAAGGCAGCAUUGCCUCAGUGAUGUCAUGUGUGGAGUUGAACAGAGUAUUUGCUGCGCUGGAGAAAACUAAUGGAAACAUUCACUUGGGGUAAGACAAAUGGUAUUAAAUGAGAAAACACACCAUGAAUUGCAAAUGGGGCUGAGUUAAUUUGUUGCUACAGUAGUGUUGCCCUACUGUUAAAUGAAGGCUGUGUAAUUAUCUUGCUGGCAGAGAUAAUGUCAAAACCUCAUUUCUCCUUACAUGCCUCGUUUUUACAUGAGGGCUAAUUGAGCUGCAAGGUGACAACUGAUUAUAUAUGGUCCUCUUGCUCAAUUUGCAAAUCAUGUUACCCUUUUUUGAAGUAAGGAUUUUUAUCAGACCUCGAGUGAGGUAGUAAAGAAACUUUUUGAACGGUUUGAGUGAUUUGCAACAUUCUUGUCCAUCUGGAAAUUGUUUUGGAAUAAAUUAUCCUUUUAUAGAUAUUCCUUUAAAACGUUCUCGUGACUCUUCUGACGCAUGUAUAUACCGUAGGUAGAGGAGCGAGCCACACUCACUAUUAAAAAACGCUUUUUAUUUCGUCGAACAAAUUCAAAAAAAAAACACACACUUUUUAUCUUGUAGAACCUUACAGUUCUGUUCAGUCAAAAUGUAUUUGUUUUCUACUUCUUUAAUUUACAAAAAUUUAGGCUUUUUUUAGGCAUUGAAAAUUCAAUGUCAGACGUUCAAAUAAUAGAGAAAAAGUACUUUGUUCAUCUGUCCAUUGAAUUAAAUGUCUUUUUUUUUUUUUUCUUUUUUGGAUAAUAAGACUGUCCUCAUUAGCCUGUAAGCCUUUUCUGUCUCACUACCACGGUAGGUCUUAGUAGAAAGAAAGUCUUAUUAACUGCAACUCCACCCAGGAGGCAGCAUGUUAUUCAGUAAAAUUUUCUGUUUGCUAAAAAUCGGAAGGUUGAACAGUAUAACUAGUUUUUGUGCUUGUUGAUGUUCCUGCAUGUACACUAGACACGAUUCAUUAUCUCCGGAAAAGACUAAGUGGCCGAACAGCUGUAGUUGGAAUAAAUGGACACGUCUUCACUCUGUUGGAGACUCUCCAGGCUUAGUGUGAAAUCCCGAAAACGAAUUCCAGCUGAGAUUAUUAAACACAAAUAGCAGGAAGGGGCGUCUUCAGUUCUUGUGGACUAGCUUGCGUUUGACAAUAAAGAGUCAGAUGAGUUUGGAAGCUCUUUGGAAUCUAAAGGUUGACUGGAACUCGGUGGGAACCCCAGAGCAUCUUAGCACCUGGCCUAGGGUAUUACCAAGAAAAGCAGUGGCAGCAAAAACUUAAUAAGAAGUGAAAAUGGUGUGUUGCAAAAUGUUUUAGAGUACUUUUACAGUUUUCAAAGUUUACUGCCAGAAAACAGCAGGAGGAGUAGCUGACCUGCAACCGUCUCCUUACUUGCUAAGCAUCUCAGUUGAUCUUUACGGGUGAUGUGUGCAAUACAUAAUAUCGCCCGUUUUUAACACAUGAAGAAGCUGGAGUACGCAGAGACUAAGUGGCUUAUUCAGGAUCACGCUGCCAGUGGGUGACUCACUUGAUACUCAUCAGCCGCUGCAGCUGGGGCAUGUACGUCCAUCUAAGUGGGAGGUCCGUGAGUGGAACAACUAGUUCCAGGUUAAACAGCUAGCAAAUGCAGAGCUGGGGUUCACAGACCAGUCUUUUGGCUCGAAGUCUGUUACUGUGGCUCUUGUCUUUGCUAUUUUCCAUUGCUGUUCAGAAGACCAGGCCUUAUGUUUUCUUGAUCAGGGUUUUUCUGUCCUAGUAGUUUUCCACCUGUUCUGCGGAGCCCAUGGCUCCCCUCGGGUGCCUCGGGCCUAGCGUCGGUGCCAGGAAGUGGUGAAGAGGAUAGGAAGCCAGCCUGCUGUCAGUCAUCGUAAUUCAUUCAGCCCGAGGGUUCUGCGCAAGAAUUUAUUGGGAAAGUUUCCACUGCCUGAAAAGUUAUAAAAUGAGCUCUUGCUCCAUGUACUAUUUUUGCUGGAACUCUGUACCAGCGGAUGAAGUUAAUAUGAAAACAUAUACAUGUAUAUUUAAUUAUAUUUCACACAUAUGAAAUAUAAUUAAAUGUAUGUAUAUGUUAUAUAUUUAUAUUUAAUAUAUACAAAAAAUUUUUAAGCGGGAUCCUUGGGUGCCACUUUGCAGUUUUAUUUCUAUACUUUUGGCCCCUCCCUCAACACUGGAGCCCCUGUCAGUCACUGCAGAUUGCUGCAAGUUGAGAUUGACUCCUGGGGUGCCAGGGUGGCCGUCAUUUUCCUGUACCCUGGUGCCUGGGAGUAAAGGGGGGAAUAGGUAGUAUAUGCACGGGGUGGGAAAGGGUGUCAGCGUGCCUGAGAGAAGAGGUACAUUCUUUUGUGAAAUUCCAGUGUACCUGCUUGAAGAAACUCAAACCAGAAACAGUUCUCAAAGAGAAGGGAGUUAACAUUCUGUCCUUAAGAGCUUGGCACUGCCCAGAAAAGAUCCUCUGGGUCAGCUCAAAAGCAAAGCAGGAAUUCCCGUUGUGACUCAGUGGUUAAUGAACCUGACUAGUAUCCACGGGAAUGUGGGUUUGAUCCCUGGCCUCUCUCAGUGGGUUAAGGAUCUGGCAUUGCCAUGAGCUGUGGUGCAGGCCAGCAGCUGCAGCUCCGAUUGGACCCAUAGCCUGGGAACCUCCAUAUUGCUGCAGAUGCGGCCCUAAAGUGACAAAAGAGAAAAAAAAAAAGCAAAGAAAAUACAUAUCCAUACGCUGAAGAGCAGGGGUGACUGUGAGCUGACACCCCGUGUGUUGUCACUCUGCUUUAUCUCCUGUGCUCAUCAGGGCUGAGAAUAACUAUGAUCCACUCUGUGGGUGCUUAGUUUGUAGGUGAGCCCACUCAGACUUUUCAGCGAGCCUUCUGGAUAACGGCAGUGACCUCAGCAAAAACUGAGGAAAAGACCGUUGGCAGGAGAGGAAAUAAAUACCGAUCUGUGAAGAUCCAGUUUUGAAAAUGAACUUGGCACAGAUCACAAUUUGAAAAGAGUAAUGGGUUUACCUUCCGCAGGUAAAAAAAUAAGAGAAGGAGCUUUAGCGGAAGCAAUCUGGUGGACUUGCAUGAAAUGCAUUAAAUAUAUAUACAUGCACACCAGUGACACAUGUCAUCGUAAAUCUUCCCACUGCUUGAAGUGCCACAGGUUUUCCAGUUUUUUCCUCUCCAAAUUUAAUUUUAUCAUCAUGACUGCUGUGCACAUGUCUUUAGAUACCCCUUUUCUUCGGUUCUAAUGACAGCAGAGCAGUGGUGUUUGUGAUUAUUUUGUUACGUUUUGUAGCGGAUGCAGUUAUUUGCCCCCAUGUCGAGUUGUAAUUUUCAAUGUCUGGUUUGAUUCUGCCUAUAAGGAAAAAAUCAAGAAUAUUGCAGAAAUGGCUUUGAAGGAGUUCCCGUUGUGGCUCCGUGGUUAACGAAUCUGACUAGGAACAUGAGGUUGCGGGUUCAAUCCCUGGCCUCACUCAGUGGGUUAAGGAUCUGGCGUUGCCAUGAGCGGUGGUGUAGGUCACAGAUGCAGCUUGGAUCUGGCGUUGCUGUAGCUGUGGCGUAGGCUGGUGACUCCAGCUCCAGUUAGGCCCCUAGCCUGGGACCCUCCAUAUGCCACUGGUGUGGCCCUAGAAAAG
This 5563-nucleotide long non-coding RNA is filed under the name Sus scrofa (pig). Its description in RNAcentral is "lncRNA (ENSSSCG00040008774.1)". The record is from RNAcentral. Lineage: Eukaryota; Metazoa; Chordata; Mammalia; Artiodactyla; Suidae.